CAGGUCUUGACAUCCCCUGAGUAGCCUGGAGACAGGUGAUGCCCUUUGGGGCAGGGAGACAGGUGGUGCAUGGUUGUCGUCAGCUCGUGUCGUGAGAUGUUGGGUUAAGUCCCGCAACGAGCGCAACCCUUACUAUUAGUUGCUACGCAAGAGCACUCUAAUGGGACUGCCGUUGACAAAACGGAGGAAGGUGGGGAUGACGUCAAAUCAUCAUGCCCUUUAUGACCUGGGCUACACACGUAAUACAAUGGCGCUUAACAGAGGGAAGCGAAGGAGCGAUCCGGAGCAAAUCCCCAAAAAGCGUCUCAGUUCGGAUCGCAGGCUGCAACCCGCCUGCGUGAAGUCGGAAUUGCUAGUAAUCGCGGAUCAGCAUGCCGCGGUGAAUACGUUCCC
Molecule: ribosomal RNA, 393 nt
Filed under: uncultured Eubacteriales bacterium
Lineage: Bacteria; Bacillati; Bacillota; Clostridia; Eubacteriales
Description: bacterial SSU rRNA
Rfam family: Bacterial small subunit ribosomal RNA
Source: RNAcentral